GGAAAAACAGGGAGGAACCAUCUGGGGUUGAAGAUGAUGAGGUUGAUGCUGCUAUGGGGUAUAGGGGUAUAAAGGCUGCUGCUACUAAAGCAAUUGAACAAUCGAAUUCGGUGGAACAGGAACCAGGCAAAACUUUCUCAACCAGUAAAUCCAAAGUGUUGAAGAUCUUGACCUACAAUGUGUGGUUUGCAGAUAUAGAGAUGAACAAGAGGAUGAAAGCCAUAGGCAACCUUAUUUCGCUGCAUAAGCCAGAUGUUAUAUGUUUUCAGGAGGUUACUCCAGAAAUAUAUGACAUCUUUCAGCACUCU
RNAcentral lists this unclassified non-coding RNA (308 nucleotides) under Hevea brasiliensis (rubber tree). The record is from RNAcentral. Lineage: Eukaryota; Viridiplantae; Streptophyta; Magnoliopsida; Malpighiales; Euphorbiaceae.